Long non-coding RNA from Pezoporus flaviventris, 398 nucleotides. RefSeq lists it as uncharacterized. The transcript is spliced from 2 exons. The record is from RefSeq and is a predicted model, not a curated record. NCBI's taxonomy places the organism in Eukaryota, Metazoa, Chordata, Aves, Psittaciformes, Psittacidae.
GUCCGGAGCUCCUUGAGAUCGCAGCGGCGGCUCUUGAUCUUUAAGGUUUCCAUCUUCUUGCUGAUGGUGGUCCUGGGGAUAUCCUUAAACAGGUCGCUGAGGACCUGGGCCAAAGCAAACAUCUGGGUGCCAUUGAUCUGGUUUUACGAGCCGUUGCUGCGCCUUCCCAAAUCUGCCCCGAUUCCUCUGGGAUGGGUGUGUGUACGUAUAGAUUUAAUAAAGCGUAAAAGAUCCGGCUCUAAGCGAGUUGUUCGCAACGAUUGACUCCGCAACAAUUCAUCCUUCAACCUUCAAUGCUUAUUAAUUGCCCAUUACUGUAUUUAUUAGCUGGCAUGAGCGGGGUGUCCACAACAACAUCGGUAGCGUGUGCGAAUAGAAGCAACGCGAAGAUAUUUAUA